This 952-nucleotide ribosomal RNA is filed under the name uncultured bacterium. RNAcentral's name for it is "bacterial SSU rRNA". It matches the Rfam family "Bacterial small subunit ribosomal RNA", at positions 8 to 933 of the family's 1533-position model. The record is from RNAcentral.
AGAGUUUGAUCCUGGCUCAGAAUGAACGCUGGCGGCGUGCUUAACACACGCAAGUCGCACGAGAAAGGGAUUGCUUGCAAUCCUGAGUAGAGUGGCGCACGGGUGAGUAACACGUAGAUAAUCUACCUUCAAUUUUGGGAUAACCAAUCGAAAGGCUGGCUAAUACCGGAUAAAGUUGAUGUAUGAGAAUAUAUUAAUGAAAGUAUGCCUCUUCUUGAAAGCAUAUGAUUGGAGAUGAGUCUGCGGACCAUUAGCUAGUUGGUGGGGUAAGAGCCUACCAAGGCAACGAUGGUUAGCUGGUCUGAGAGGAUGAUCAGUCACACUGGAACUGGAACACGGUCCAGACUCCUACGGGAGGCAGCAGUGAGGAAUUUUGCGCAAUGGGGGAAACCCUGACGCAGCAACGCCGCGUGAGUGAAGAAGGCCUUUGGGUCGUAAAGCUCUGUCAACUGGGAAGAAAUUAUGUAUAUCUAAUAGGUGUAUGUAUUGACGGUACCAGUGGAGGAAGCGCCGGCUAACUCCGUGCCAGCAGCCGCGGUAAUACGGGGGGCGCAAGCGCUAUUCGGAAUUAUUGGGCGUAAAGGGCGUGUAGGCGGUCUUGUCGGUCAGAUGUGAGAGCCCAGGGCUCAACCCUGGACGUGCAUUUGAAACAGCAAGACUUGAGUACGGUAGAGGAAAGCGGAAUUCCUGGUGUAGAGGUGAAAUUCGUAGAUAUCAGGAGGAACACCGAUGGCGAAGGCAGCUUUCUGGACCGAAACUGACGUUGAUGCGCGAAGGCGUGGGUAGCGAACAGGAUUAGAUACCCUGGUAGUCCACGCAGUAAACGAUGUACACUAGGUGUAGGGGAUAUUAAAAUUUUCUGUGCCGCAGUUAACACAUUAAGUUCUCCGCCUGGGGAGUACGGCCGCAAGGCUAAAACUCAAAGGAAUUGACGGGGGCCCGCACAAGCGGU